This is a small nuclear RNA of Neogale vison (American mink), 142 nucleotides long. Its record names the gene U4. It matches the Rfam family "U4 spliceosomal RNA". From Rfam's summary of the family: U4 small nuclear RNA (U4 snRNA) is a component of the major U2-dependent spliceosome. The structure of U4 snRNA from yeast and human has been reported. U4 snRNA presents a k-turn RNA motif in the 5p-SL related to recognition of Snu13 protein. NCBI's taxonomy places the organism in Eukaryota, Metazoa, Chordata, Mammalia, Carnivora, Mustelidae. The record is from Ensembl.
AGCUUUGCACAGUGGCAGUAUCAUAGCCAAUGAGGUUUAUCCGAGGCGCGAUUAUUGCUAAUUAAAAAUUAUCUACCACAAUUCUUCACAAAGGUGAUUGACAUUAAAAACCCCAUAUCUUUCUUAGCUUUCUUCCAUCAGA